RNAcentral lists this unclassified non-coding RNA (337 nucleotides) under soil metagenome. Its description in RNAcentral is "partial contains 5.8S ribosomal RNA, internal transcribed spacer 2, and large subunit ribosomal RNA". The stretch from base 1 to 120 matches the Rfam family "5.8S ribosomal RNA", at positions 35 to 154 of the family's 154-position model. The record is from RNAcentral.
GAUGAAGAACGUAGCGAAAUGCGAUAAGUAAUGUGAAUUGCAGAAUUCCGUGAAUCAUCGAAUCUUUGAACGCACAUUGCGCCCCCUGGCAUUCCGGGGGGCAUGCCUGUCCGAGCGUCAUUUCUGCCCUCAAGCACGGCUUGUGUGUUGGGUGUGGUCCCCCCGGUGACCUGCCCGAAAGGCAGCGGCGACGUCCGUCUGGUCCUCGAGCGUAUGGGGCUCUGUCACUCGCUCGGGAAGGACCUGCGGGGGUUGGUCACCACUAUAUUUUACCACGGUUGACCUCGGAUCAGGUAGGAGUUACCCGCUGAACUUAAGCAUAUCAAUAAGCGGAGGA